This 72-nucleotide transfer RNA is filed under the name Urocitellus parryii (Arctic ground squirrel). Its description in RNAcentral is "Spermophilus parryii (Arctic ground squirrel) tRNA". It matches the Rfam family "tRNA". From Rfam's summary of the family: Transfer RNA (tRNA) molecules are approximately 80 nucleotides in length. Their secondary structure includes four short double-helical elements and three loops (D, anti-codon, and T loops). The record is from Rfam by way of RNAcentral. Lineage: Eukaryota; Metazoa; Chordata; Mammalia; Rodentia; Sciuridae. RNAcentral also lists the same sequence under 2 other names.
GGAGAUGUGACUCAGUGGUAAAGUGCUUGCCUAGCAUGCAAGAGGUCCUGGGUUCAAUUCCUUAGUGCACCA